UAAGACACAUUUGAAUAUACCCAUCGACGACGUAUGCAAUGCAAUUUAUUUACUCGAUUAUUUUUAAAAUUCACUUAUAAAAUUUACAAAGGUUAAAUACAAGGAACACAUACAUAUGAGUUACGCUACGGCCCUGUAUUAUGUGUAUUUUUGCACAUCCAUGCAUACACUGGCAGACUACUCUUCAUGAAGUGAGGUUAUGUCCGCAUAUACGAUGUCUUUCCAAACAUAGAUAUUUUGGGGUAGGGGAGAUAGAGAGUUACGAAAAGCUUGGCUGCAUUUUAUUGUACAAACGUAACCUCUCCUAUUCAUUAUGGUUGUGCAAAAAUGACGCACUUUGAACAUACCUAAACGGGUUUUAGGAUCGGAAGUGGUUAGAAUGCUCUUCUGCGAAAUUUAUUUGCACUCAGCAAACAAUGCUGGUGAUAUCGUUCUCUAUUUUGUCACUUUUGCAGUGAGACGGCUCUUUUCAAUAAAUUAUGAUAGGAUCUGUCCGCCAUGAAAUAAGUUGGAUCGAAGACAACGCAAUGGUUGGAUGCAGUUGAAACUUGCUUAAAAAUUUGGUCUAAAUACGACCAAUCCAUUGCCAGAGAGACGACAGACGACACGUGAAAGUGUUAUAAAUCUUAUGGAGGGAUGGAAGGGCAUUUUUGAGUUUGUUUUUACUCUCUGAUAUUUAGUAAGUUUCUUAAAGUUCAAGUUUAAAAUUGUUUCCAAAUUUUUACAGUCGUGUACAUGUAUAACUUCGAUGCAAAUUUGGCGAGAAGAAAGUGUUUGACAAGAAUUCUGUUAUUAAAUUCAGUCCGUCAAUACUGUUUAUCUGAGUUUUUUUAACUGAUCAUCAAAUGUUUAAUUGAAUAGCUAUGGGCAAAAGUAAAACAAUGUAAAUAUUUCUGAACACCAGUUGAUUUAUAUGAACAGUAAAAAAUGCAGAUAAAUAUAGAACUUGGUUAACAUUUUAUAAUGUAUCAAUCCAACACUUAAUGAAAUCGUCUCAUCUGUUGGCUUUUAAUAUAGCAAUAACUGAUAAAUGAUUAUGUAUCUAAUUUGACGGCGUCUUGCAAUCAGGAGUUUCACCUGGAGACACAACUUAAGGGGUUAUUGCCUGAUUUGGAAAACUUUAAUAUGUCUGUAUCAACUGCAUCGGUCGGGAUAAAAUAACAGGAUUAUUACUGCAUGAGUACAAAAUGACAGUAAUCUAAGUGAGUUUAAUUUACAAAGAUGAAGAACACGCAUGGAUUUCAACAAACCUAUGUAGAUCUUGAUAUGAAAGGGAAUUGAGGUGGUAAACAAAUAAAUAAGUUAAAUACAAUUAUAUACUUGUGAAGUAGUCAUGUUAGAAUAUUCAUUUUCUUAUAUUCUAGAAAUAUACUUUUUGCCCUGUACAUAUUUUGUAGAGUAUUAGGAAAACCGAGGAAACUAAAUUAUUGAGUUUUACUCCAUACUGCCCAUUAAUCUCGACCGACCAAGGAAAAAGAUAAGCACCUGGAAUUUGGUAAAGACUAGUAAAGAGACACCUAAAGACUUAUUGUUGUUAAGCUAAUUUUGAAGAAAUUUCACCUAAGUCAAAGAAUAAAUUCUUUUGACCUCGGACAUAAACACUCAAAGGAAAUUGUGGCUUUUGUGUUUUUAUUUUUAAGUAGGUGAAGCAACUCAUUCGAAGCAUUUUGAUAUGUGGAUCAUCUCCGUGCAAUUUGUUGGAUGAGAAUUUCGCAAACAACGUAAAACUAAAGCUAAAAUCCGAUUGGAUAAUAAUGAAACUAUUUAUUUGCUGUGAUCUUAUGAACGGGUUUUUCUACCAUGAAAUUUAAUUAAAUUUGUGCGAAAUAUAUUAAUCCGAAAGUUAAUAAAAUAGCGUAAGCCGUAUUAAAAUCGUCCAAA
Molecule: long non-coding RNA, 1881 nt
Organism: Folsomia candida
Lineage: Eukaryota; Metazoa; Arthropoda; Collembola; Entomobryomorpha; Isotomidae
Exons: 4
Source: RefSeq, a predicted model, not a curated record